Spinacia oleracea (spinach) is the source of this 329-nucleotide long non-coding RNA. RefSeq lists it as uncharacterized. Lineage: Eukaryota; Viridiplantae; Streptophyta; Magnoliopsida; Caryophyllales; Amaranthaceae. The record is from RefSeq and is a predicted model, not a curated record. The transcript has 3 exons.
GUUUAUGCAGGUCGUCAUAGCAGAUGAGUCGCAUUAUUUGAAGAAUGCUCAAGCAAAGAGGACAUUUGCCUCUCUUCCGGUUAUAGAGAAAGCGCAGUAUGCAAUUGAGAUUCGUAUUAACAUGAAUCUGGCGCAAAGCGUAUGAAGAUAAUUGGAGUGAUGGGCCUGAAGACUUGACAGGUCAUUCUCGGUUUGGAGUCAGCUUGAUCACCUCUUGCUGCUUGCAGUAUAGUACAACUUUGAUUGAUAAAGAAGUUGAAGUGCUCAUACGUCUUGUAGUAGGAGAGUUGAGAGAUCUCCAGAACUUUGGUUGACUUACUGGUGUUGAG